UGGGGAAUAUUGGACAAUGGGGGCAACCCUGAUCCAGCCAUGCCGCGUGAGUGAUGAAGGCCUUAGGGUUGUAAAGCUCUUUCGCCGGUGAAGAUAAUGACGGUAACCGGUAAAGAAGCCCCGGCUAACUUCGUGCCAGCAGCCGCGGUAAUACGAAGGGGGCUAGCGUUGUUCGGAAUUACUGGGCGUAAAGCGCGCGUAGGCGGGUCAUUAAGUCAGGGGUGAAAUCCCGGGGCUCAACCUUGGAACUGCCUUUGAUACUUCCAGCCUUGAGUCCGAGAGAGGUGAGUGGAAUUCCGAGUGUAGAGGUGAAAUUCGUAGAUAUUCGGAGGAACACCAGUGGCGAAGGCGGCUCACUGGCUCGGUACUGACGCUGAGGUGCGAAAGCGUGGGGAGCAAACAGGAUUAGAUACCCCCGUAGUCC
This 424-nucleotide ribosomal RNA is filed under the name uncultured prokaryote. Its description in RNAcentral is "bacterial SSU rRNA". It matches the Rfam family "Bacterial small subunit ribosomal RNA", at positions 355 to 796 of the family's 1533-position model. The record is from RNAcentral.